UUUUAUCAUUUAUUUCGGCUAUUUAUACAUAAUAAUUUUAUUUUUUUUUGUUAUUAAUUUUUGUUGCUACUAUUUCGUGCAGUUUUAUGUAAAACAUUUGCAGAAAUUGCAUGCAACCAAACAAACAAGUUGCAAGCUGAUUUCCCACAGGCGCAUAUACAUAUACAUAUAUAUAUCUAAUAUGCUUGUUUAUAAGAUGCAAUAUAACAACACGCAACUUGGCUAUACAUCAAACGAUGGCGGUUGGCAGCAGCACCUGUUGGCAUCAUUUCAAAUAGCUGUCCAUCAAAUUCAUUCUAUCUCCACUCUAUGUUCUUCUACAGCUCGUUUGCUGUCAACACAAAUCCAGUUCAACUAGAAGCGCUUCGACACCAACACAAACACCAACACCAGCAGCAAAAGCAACAGCAGCAGCAACAGUAACAGUAACAGCGCAAACAACAUGUGGCUAUCGGCUAUUGGCCGUUUGGCCAGUUGGUCUCUGUGCGCCUGCCUCAUCCUGGUUGCAUGUGUCGGCAGCAAUGCAGUCAAGCAUGCGGAAAUUGAUUAUUACAAGUUUAGAGUGAAAUUCUUCAAAUAUACUUUUUUGCCUCUAA
Ceratitis capitata (Mediterranean fruit fly) is the source of this 596-nucleotide long non-coding RNA. RefSeq lists it as uncharacterized. NCBI's taxonomy places the organism in Eukaryota, Metazoa, Arthropoda, Insecta, Diptera, Tephritidae. The record is from RefSeq and is a predicted model, not a curated record. The transcript has 2 exons.